GGGAAAAGCGGGGCAGGGGGCGGGGGUAAUACAGGGGGUGCAAGCGGUAAUCGGAAGUACUGGGCGGAAGGCGAGCGUAGGUGGUUCAGUAAGGGGGGUGUGAAAUCCCCGGGCUUAACCUGGGAACUGCUUUCACAACUGCGGAGCUAGAGUACGGUAGAGGGUAGUGGAAUUUCCUGUGUAGCGGUGAAAUGCGUAGAUAUAGGAAGGAACACCAGUGGCGAAGGCGACUACCUGGACUGAUACUGACACUGAGGUGCGAAAGCGUGGGGAGCAAACAGGAUUGAUACCCCUGUAGUC
RNAcentral lists this ribosomal RNA (300 nucleotides) under uncultured Pyrobaculum sp. RNAcentral's name for it is "bacterial SSU rRNA". It matches the Rfam family "Bacterial small subunit ribosomal RNA", at positions 495 to 795 of the family's 1533-position model. The record is from RNAcentral. Lineage: Archaea; Thermoproteati; Thermoproteota; Thermoprotei; Thermoproteales; Thermoproteaceae.